CAGGCCCGAGCUUGUGCGCCAGCCGUCUCAUUCGUUGAGCCAACACGAUUGGGAUUGGGUGCCCGGCUCAGGAACGGGUUGUGGCCCGUUCCGGCGGGCGCCCGGACUUGCAGAGCAGGUUCAACUCCCGGGCGGCAGCGGCAGGCUGGGGCUGUU
This 156-nucleotide non-coding RNA is filed under the name Actinomycetota bacterium. RNAcentral's name for it is "6S RNA". It matches the Rfam family "6S / SsrS RNA". Rfam says of the family: E. coli 6S RNA was the first non coding RNA to be sequenced, but its function was unknown until recently. It consists of 184 nucleotides that fold into an extended hairpin structure with a large single-stranded internal bulge. The 6S RNA specifically associates with RNA polymerase holoenzyme containing the sigma70 specificity factor. The record is from RNAcentral. Lineage: Bacteria; Bacillati; Actinomycetota.